RNAcentral lists this long non-coding RNA (711 nucleotides) under Musa acuminata (dwarf banana). RNAcentral's name for it is "long non-coding RNA (MACU_LNC005117)". The record is from RNAcentral. Lineage: Eukaryota; Viridiplantae; Streptophyta; Magnoliopsida; Zingiberales; Musaceae.
CUUCCAAACAUUAUCUUUGAAGGGCACAGACUUCUAAUAUGAGCAGCAUCCACAGGGUUGGUUCUCAUCAUCAGUAAGAAUGUUCAGUUGAAGCCAUCGAGUUCCUCCAUGCCAAGGGUUGGAGGGGUCAUGUGAUGCAAGUGAUGUGAAGAUGGCUUGGGGAGUGAAGAGAGGUGAAGGCCAUGAAUGUGUUCUGUCUUCUACCUCCAGAUAACCAGAAAGGUAGCUCCUUACUUUCAUUAUUGUUGGGAAAAGAUAAGGAUAUCAAAUCAAUAAGAUCAUAUAAAUAUUUUUCACUAAUCAAAUCAAUAACAUUAUAAAUAUUCUUCUUUAGGUCAACUACAUGAUAUCAAAUAUCAUCAAAACUAACUCAUGGCCCAGAAAAUAAUCACUUAAAUCAACCAUCAAAACAUGUAAGAUUUCUUCUCCUAAUAUAGCCUCUUGGAGCCUAUGACAUCUUCUUUUUUCUCCCUUAUUUUUCUAUUUAUAUCAAACUCCAUUGGUUACAUCACUUGCCAAACGAUAACAAUUAUUAGAAUCAAAGAAAGAUGAUGAUUGAUUCCUUUUUUCCCAGCAGAUGAAAUAUCUUCAUCUGAAUAUUAAUAUGUGAAUGGAUAUUAUUCAUUCAGCUUAUCACUCUGAAGUUUAUCUUAGGUGCAAUGAGGCCGCAACUCCACACAUUUUUGCCCAGAAAACACAACAUAAAGGUGG